RNAcentral lists this ribosomal RNA (339 nucleotides) under uncultured Acidobacteriota bacterium. RNAcentral describes it as "bacterial SSU rRNA". It matches the Rfam family "Bacterial small subunit ribosomal RNA", at positions 21 to 358 of the family's 1533-position model. The record is from RNAcentral. Lineage: Bacteria; Pseudomonadati; Acidobacteriota.
GGCUCAGAACGAACGCUGGCGGCGUGCCUAACACAUGCAAGUCGAACGAGAAAGUGGAGCAAUCCAUGAGUAAAGUGGCGACCGGGUGAGUAACACGUGACUAACCUACCCUAAAGUGGGGGAUAACUCCGGGAAACCGGGGCUAAUACCGCAUAACAUCGCGAGGGGAAAGAUCCUUGUGAUCAAAGGAGCAAUUCGCUGAAGGAGGGGGUCGCGGCUGAUUAGUUAGUUGGUAGGGUAACGGCCUACCAAGACAAAGAUCAGUAUCCGGCCUGAGAGGGCGCACGGACACACUGGAACUGAAACACGGUCCAGACUCCUACGGGAGGCAGCAGUGGG